Long non-coding RNA from Oncorhynchus keta (chum salmon), 450 nucleotides. RefSeq lists it as uncharacterized. Lineage: Eukaryota; Metazoa; Chordata; Actinopteri; Salmoniformes; Salmonidae. The transcript is spliced from 3 exons. The record is from RefSeq and is a predicted model, not a curated record.
UUUUGGACCACUCCUCUUUAUAAAACUGUUUCAGUUCAGUAAUAUUCUGGGGGUGUCUGAUGUGAACCGCUCUCGAGGUCAUUCCACAGCAUCUCAAUCGGGUUGAGGUCAGGACUCUGACUGGGCCACUCAGGUUGAGGUCAGGACUCUGACUGGGCCACUCAGGUUGAGGUCAGGACUCUGACUGGGCCACUCAGGUUGAGGUCAGGACUCUGACUGGGCCACUCAGGUUGAGGUCAGGACUCUGACUGGGCCACUCAGGUUGAGGUCAGGACUCUGACUGGGCCACUCAGGUUGAGGUCAGGACUCUGACUGGGCCACUCAGGUUGAGGUCAGGACUCUGACUGGGCCACUCAGGUUGAGGUCAGGACUCUGACUGGGCCACUCAGGUUGAGGUCAGGACUCUGAUUGGGCCACUCCAGAAGGGUAUUUUCUUCUAUUGAAGCCAUU